AUCAGGGCGUUCCGGAAAAGGACUGUUCUUCUCAGUAAUUAGUUGCACUGAAAAAUAAGUGGGAAAAUAAACCAGUUUUAUUCAAAAUGCUGUGACGAUUGAAGCAAUUAAUUAAUGCUCACCUUUUUUUAGGAGUUAUAUUUAACUGGCCAGGCUAAAUAAUAAAAAGGGAACACAAGCUCCAGAGAAUACUGUCAAUCAUCUUCUGCUGUUGGCAGAUGCAGAGUGUGUACCCUGUGGUCAUUUGGCCUUCAUCUCAGGGCCAAAGUGUCCCUAUCACUUAUUCCUUAGGGUAGAGACCGGCCCCUUCUUGACCUACAACGACAUCUGUGGAUACAAAAAGGAGCACACGCAUUCCCUAGGGUCCUCUUUUAACGAUGACCACAACAAGCCCCAUGCUAAUGAUGAGCCAACCAUGUGCACAUGCGGGAGGCAAUUACAGCAGAACCAUGAAGCAUGUACUGAAGUGGGUACAUCUGAUUGUGUAUCCUGAUUUGUUUACACUGGGCCAUCUGAGAAGAUGUCAUUUUAAAUGUUUGGGAAAGGGCAGGCACUUAAAAAAAAUGUAUUUGCAUCUCUCAAGCAAUCUCUUACCCAAGCCAGUUAGAGUGGAAACGUCUUUCUCAAUAAAGAACCUUUCUGUGUCUUCUCGGCUCCUCUUUUAAUGAAGAAAUACGCUCCAGUUCGGAUGGAACUGAUGCCAUGGCGGCAGCCAUUGUUGUGGAAUUUUCAAUAAAACCAGUUGGGGAGAAGAGAAUGUUUGUUUGAUUUCUUUCAAAGUUGCAAAAGUCCUUUUAUUGCUUGCAAGCAGGAGGUCAAAUACACCAGCACGUAUUACGGUACUCUGUGGAGAUGGCGUCUCCGAGCAGUCAAAACGUUGAUCUUUUAUACACACAGACGAAGGCCAUCCUCAGUGGCAGGUAUGAAAAAUUGCAAAAAAAAGUUGACAAGAACCAAGGUUAAGAUGAGGGUAGUGAGCAAGUUGACUCGCCCUCCUUUCUUCAGACACAGCUGCAAAUAGAAACUUUGAAUCAUGCUGCUUUUCACACGUUAAACUUCAAUACAGACAAUUAUCACUUUCUCGUGUAAUGACGUAUUACCAGCAACGAGAGUUGAUGUGAGGAUCUAACUGACACUAAGGAAGAAAAGUUAACAUUUGAUUGGAGACACAAUAACAAACUCUGGAAAUUAAAGGAAAACUCACAAUAUUUGAUGACAUAUGAAGGAAUGUACUAGUUGGCAACAAAUGUUCCAAAAUUGAAGGAAACAUGUAAACUAAAAAUGAAUUGCAUUAAAGCAAAAUGUAUUCUAGUUGUUGGCAAAUGGUAAUAUGAAAAUCUACAUCUCAGCAAACCUUAAGAAGCAUUUGCAGCACAAAAAAACAGCCACAACUUGAUGUUUACUUUUAUCACCUUUCUUGGAAGGACCUUUGAUAAUGCCCAAUAACUUUUAUUACAUUAUGCCAAGUGCUUUAGUUGUCAUAUUCCAACAGAGUUCACAGCUGGUUGUGAAAUGCAGCAUUGAUUCUUCCUAAGAAGGGAGGGUUUAAGGGUUACAGAUAUUGUAACCCAAAAGCACAACUCUGAGGCAGAAUUCAAUCUAAAGUUCUUUACUUAUACAGGCAGGGUCAAAACUGGGAUAGCAGUCCAAUGGGCAAACAAAUCCAGAGGGGCAGCCAGGAAAUCCGUAAACUGGGACAGGCAGGGUUCAGAAACAGAACGGCGAUCCGACAGGCAAACAAAUCCAAUAAGAGGGCAGGCGAAGAGUUUGUGGUGUCACGGUGUGGUGCACUUCCUGUCUUAUUUUGUAGUUUUCUGCCACUCGUGUCCCCGGGUAACUUCACUUCCUGCCUGGUCCUGUCAUCCCCUGUGAUUGUCGGAUUGUUUCCACCUGUGUCCAAUCACGUGCACCUCCAGAGUGGGUUUGUCACUUGUGGCGUCAUUGUCUCUUGUCACGAAGUCCCUGUCUAUCGUCGUGGAUGUUCCCUGUUCCUGCGUGCCUUUUUGCCCCCAGUUUUUGUGUGUUUUUGCCCAUUGUCCUUUUGCUUUUGACGUCUGCUUUUGAGUCCUGCCUUCCCCACGCAUCCCCUGACACGUGGUCAAGAGAAGGCAGGCUAGGUCAGGAUGGGAUAUCUGUAAUCGGAAAACGCUGGAAAACUUUGCAUGCACACAAGACAAUCUGGCAGAGGACAAGUGGGGGGGACCUAUGUAGUGAGGGACUAACGAGGGAAUGGGUUGCAGUCGGGAAGGGCAUGAGGACCAGGUGAAGAGAAUGAGGUGAUUUCUUAUUGAGGACAGGAUCUGGAAUGACUGAGUAGAGUUAAUUGACUAGAACGCAGGCAGGAAAAAAAGUAAUAAGAUGGAGAAUUCGUGACAGAGGGGGCCUUAGUUAUGGAGUGGGGACUGGAGGCGUUGGGGGCACGAGUCGUGGAGCCGGAUCGGGAGGGCGCUCCGGCCCAGCGUGGAGGGAGUACGUGGCCUGGAGAUGGGCCGUGAGGUGCAUCACCUGCUCCCCGUAUGAUCCGGCAAUUGGAGACCUAGAGAUGGCCUCCACCUCCGGAGGCAAAGUGGUGACCGGAGGGCGCGGAGAACGGUGACCCGAACGCCUUCCGGGGGCUCUGGGAGAGCAGACUGCGUCCACCAGGAAUCCAGCUGGUGAUCCAGGGCAAGCGUUUUCCCCAAAACUGGCAAAGCUCUCAAUCUACCGGUCAAUCUUCGUUCCUACGCUCACCUAUGUUCAUGAAGAUUGGGUCACGGGUACAAGCGGCCGAAAUGGGUUUCCUCUGGAGAGUGGCUGGCGUCUCCCUUAGAGAUAGGUUGAGGAGCUUGGAGUAGAGCCGCUGCUCCUUUGCGUCGAAAGGAGCCAGUUGAGGUGGUUUGGGGAUCUGGUGAGGAUGCCCCCUGGGCGCCUCCCUAGGGGGGUGUUCCAGGCACGGCCAGCUGGGAAGACCCUAGGUGGAGAGAUUAUAUCUCUACACUGACCUGGGAACGCCUUGGGAUCCCCCAGUCAGAGCUGGUAGAUGUGGCCCAGGAAAGGGAAGUUUGGGGUCCCUGCUGGAGCUGUUGCCCCAGCGACCUGACCCCGGAUAGUAUUGGACCUAGCUGAGGAAGAGGUCCUCGCUGUCUCCGGAUGUUCCGAGUAGCAAUGUAUAAGUCUUCUCUAAGGGAACUCUUGAGGUUUGUGAUUGAUUGUACUCGAUGGCUGAAAACAUCAAACAAAAUAACAAAUUUAAAAAGGUUGAAAAACAAAGGCUUCAACCCAACUAUUGGAUGGGAAAGUUGCGCACCUGGCCAAAUUGGCGAAUUUUUUUUUUGACAAAACACUUACAGCUGCUGGACAUUCAUCAAUGUGUCAACCAUGCAGUAUAGUAUGUAUCUACUUUGAAGUAAAAUGCAUUGCACAUGGUGAGAAAGAUACCAAUGAGCUGAAGACACUAUAUGAAAAAUAAAAAAAAUAAACAUCCCAUAAGUCAGAAGAAAUUGCUGCAGCACACACGUAAUUGUCCUUCAUUCAGGCCAUCUUAGCAAGUGACAAUCAAGUGGGGGUUUGGCUAUAAAUUGCUUUUUUAGCUGGCUGUGAAAAGAGCAUUGUAUCGCUGUGGGUGUGCUUUCUCCAUUAAUUUGAUCCGUUCCGCAGGACAAUUAGUUUCACAUCUUAGGAGGGUAACGUAAAAUAGAUUACCGCUCAGUCUUCGUGGGGGAAUUAUAGAGCUCCAAUAGAAGACAGAAACGAUCACAUAAACACAAUGCCAACGAUCGGAGAUGUACUUACCAAGCACUUAAGUUGCUGAACUUUUACAAAUUUUAACACACACACGCUAAUCAUAUCCUUGUGGAUAUUACAGUAGCUAAGCAACAUGUGAUCUUGUGUGUUAAUUUACAUAAUGAUAAAUGUAAAUGAAACUCCAUUGCAUAGUUGUGAAAUAUAUGUAACCUUUUAUUUAAUAACUGGAUCAUUGUUGUGACGCAAUGAUGAAAAAGAUGCACUGGUGCAAACAUAUCCCAACUUGUUGUCACUCCAGUGAGUCAAACAGCUUGGUCAGCGGCAUUGACUUUGAAAACUACUGCUAAUAUACACUUGACUUUUACUUUCACAUUAGGACAUGAACAGGAGUCUACUGGAUGAUCCACCCACCUCCUUUUUUCCCUGUCUUCUUUGGACUCAUUUGCACCAGGUUGCUCCGCUAGUAUCGAUCAUAAACGUGUCAUUUUUAAGUUCUUUUCACUGCCCAUAGGUUGGUCACUUGUGUAAACAGUGUCACACAAGAUUCUAGAUACGGUAUUAUCCAUUCCAUUUAGAGAUGAUUAGGUUGAGAUGUUGAAAGAAAUGGUGGAUUAUCAAAUCAAAUUCACCCGCAGUCCUCUCCAGUGGGUAAAGUUUUAGGUUUAGCAUAUGUAAUCUACUAAACCAGUUAUAUGCUCAAACUUGUUUCAUCACUAUCGAGGAAAUGCAUAAAACAUCCAACUAUUCGGAGCUUGUGCUUUUGACAGCAUUGCGAGCAAAGUAAAGACCAACGCAAACCUCUGUCUAAUUGAUUCUCCUCGGUCAAACUACGGCAUGCUCACAGAAAUACUCCUGGCUCACUGCUUUUUGUAUUCUGCAACUAACAAUUAGACACAGUUUCCUUCUACAAAUAAGGUAUAAAGUGCAUCACAUCAAUUACAUUCAGACUUCUGUCACAAAGGCGCUGGGGAGCUUGAAACAAACUUUACUGCUUCAGGCACAGAUUUUUCCUUUCACAGCAACAUCUCAUCCAGGACUGGGCAAAUGGCUCCAAGGGCUCAUAGUCAAUACAUUUGAGCAUUACUGAGGGGAUGAGCAAAUUCACUGAAUCCUGCAUCAAAAACAUUGCUCCACAUCUACAGUGUUUUAUGAGUGCAAGUAGGCUGCUCAAUACCCUGACAGACAUUACACAUAGUUGCCUGCCCUGAACAGGACGGGAUGUGCGGUAUUAUGACUGGAUGAGCUAAUCCACAUGGUAAAACAGUAAAGAUUUAUCACUGGCGACGCAUGGAGUAGAGAGGGUGCGCCCUUAACCACAAGGCGGUUUGAGCCCCGGCUGCUCCAUGUCCCAUGUCGAUUUGUCCUCCCUGAGCAAAAUGUAAAAAAAAAGCCAUGGGUUAAAAAUGCAAUGUAAGUCGCUUUGGAUAAACGCGUCAGCUAAAUUACCUGUAAUGUAAUCACUGAAUGUUUGCUAGGCCAGUCGGGCGUUUUGUAUUCUGCAAGACCACAAAAGCUGCAUCUUUACAACUCCAACUUCUAAUGCAUAGAUUAGUGAGGAGAGAACAGAGCAGUUUUCUCAUUUGCCGGCGGAAAUUACACCGAUUUGCUGGGGGAUUCUUCCAGAAACAAACCCCUAAAACCAUUUUGUUUUAUGUUUUAGUAUUGCUGGCUCGGAUGUUAAUGGAAACAAGAGGCAACCUGUAUCCAGCCCUGCAAUUUUCAAUUCGGCCGCAGGAGUCUCAUCAGUGGGGAUAUUCCCAGGAAGCGAGAAGCGCUGUCUCCACAACAGCUGCAAUAAAUUCACCUCACGUUGACAAGAACCGAAGGCAUUUCACUUGGUCACAUUGAUCCAUGUGGCCGGCCAGGUACAAUGACCCUUGUGUUCGUGCUGGUGGAGGGGCCUGCGUAGAAGAACAGGAGACUGAAUUGGGUCUCUCAGGACGUAAUUGGUCAAGAUUGACAGAUUUUGCUACUUGGAGAAGUUUUUCAGGGCCAGUAAAGGUUUGCAUGUCGGCCGGUACAUGACAUUCUCCAGCGUGCUGUCUAAAAUGUGGUAUGCAGCCCAUAUUUUGUUUGAUACACUACUACUGUAUUUUUAAUAGUUUCCUUUUUUAUACUAGUGAAACGUCUCCACUCUAUAGAUACUACAGCUUUGAAUAGGACUCCUGCAGGUAUGUUUUUCUAAUACCAUGUCUCCAUUUCCUUCUUGUUAACGCACUACCAAAUAUUUUCUAACACAGUUCAAAUUGUCUUUGACGAGAUUAAAACAUUUAAAAAUAUGUCCACAUACACACACACCUGAUAGUUCCCUAGAUCGAACUCUACAGACAGAGUGACCCGACUUAGAUGAAACAAGGUCUUUGAACAUGGCGAGUCACUCUUCAGCAUGUGUCACUGGGCACAAGGCAGCCAAUGACUGCGGCAAUUGAUUUCCAGCUGAUACUCAAGUGGCUCACCGUGAGAGAUGACCUGUCAGUGCGGCUCGAGGGAGCAUCUCCAGCGAGGCAUCAUGUAGGAAGACUCAUGCGUGAGAUGGCGGGUAGACGGGGACAGGAGAUCCUGAGUUGAGCCUGUUGGGAAGCCAAUCUCAUGAAUAGCCCCGGGCGAAUGAGCGCUUGUUAACAAGCCAAGCUGGCAGGUCUCGGUAAGUCAAACUUUUAAAUUUGUUAAAGUUUGUGUGUAUAAGUUAACGCUUUAGAAUACAAUUCAUCUCAUGUACUAGACGAGGGUCCCAAAUGGAUUGGGGAUGGAUACACUGUACAGAACUUUAAUUCUAACCUUAUUAUCUAUCAUGAGUCCAAAAGAAUGUUCACAAAUAAGCAAUAUCACAGCCUCUUUUGCCGCACUAGACAAAAGCGUCAAUAGUCUCUGGAGGGCUAGCUCUCAUCGGAGACGCUGCCUGCUCACGCCACCACUCGCCAGGGACCAGAAACUGUCUUCUUGGAUCUUGGAAGCGUGAGCCACAUGUCUGCUUGGAAGCAAGACAUUUUUCUCAGUACAAAUGACGUGGCGAUUUAUUGCUAUUUUGUCGGCCUCUUGCCCGAAAGGUGCAAAGAUGUUGGCUAUACUCUGGUGCUGUUAGAGCGACGAUAGGAUCUAAGCGAAGUUGUUGAAAUAUAGUGCGGUGUCACGGUCGUCAGGGGCAUAGCCUUUUGUAUCAUCAAAAGGGUAAAUGAGAUCUUAGAAUUCAGUCACACACUCUGGAAAAGUCAAUACAGCUGAGAGCCUUUGGUAAAAGAUAUUUUCACUUGUGACAGUAUGAGGAUUAACUUUCCCUUCACUGGAAAUCCACUGACACAUACACCACCAUGCUGGUAUUCUUUCAACUAAAUACAGUCGCGCAGUUUCUUCAUACUAUCAGACAAUUUGGAAAUACCAGGUAUUUAGAGGCUAAAACCCUAGUUGCGGACUAUGAAUGGCUUCAUUCCUAAUAUAAGUCUGUUCUUUGUUUCAUUCCAUUUCUGAUCUUUCCUAUUGCAAUCCAGAGACUGAUGUUUAAUACGUGGAAAUCCUUCAGACUCAACAAGUUUGUAAGUAGGCGAUCCGUGUAAAUAACAUUUAGCCAUGUGUGUCCCCUGGGAUAAUAUCAUUUCUGAUCCCUGAUCAGUUUAGUCACUGACUGAUCUGUGUGAGCGAGAGACAAAAAAACUUGUCUCGUUACAUUGAUUCAGUCUUAGAUCUUGAAAUAUUCAUCCAUUAAUAAUUUACUGUAUUAAUAGAUAUACCAUACACUUAUUAAAUAGUGUUAUUAAAUUGUUUAAAUUAUUAAUAAUUUGAAAUCAUUGCCGCUCGGGCAUGUUCACUAUGUACACAACAAUCAGAUAGAUAGAUCUAUCUAUUUUGGCUGAACACCUGUGAUGAGGGAACUGCAGGUGAGUUGCUGCAACAAUAUAUCAACUGCCAUCUUUUAGUUUGGCAGUGAAUAUAUACUGUUGUGCCACAUAAUUAGUAAGGCCCAUUAUCAGGUCUGUACAAUCAGUCACUCACUGCAGCGUCAUUACAGAUGUAUAGAUUAAAUGAUUAGCUGUUACAACAAAUUUAAAUAAAAGUUGUUAUUCUUUUGCACUUACCAAACAGGUGUAGGUAUGAGAAGGAUGGUAAAUACGACAGAUACCUCCAGUUAAGAGCUUCAAAGACUGCAAUUAAUAAUACAACACUAGUCUAAUAUAAAUACGUUAAAUGUUGGACUUGUGUCACGAUUGCAUGGUUGCACCACCUUAUUAUUAAGUUGGAUAUAAAUUGGGAUUUUCAUAAAAGUCAGCUUCCUGGUUGUAUUAGGACUUGAAUUUUGAACGUGACAUUAGAAUGCCUGCUGGACCGCAGAGGAUCAACCCUGAUUAGCAUGUCGCCUGGGAAAAAACUGACAGAUUGCAAUCAGAUUUGUGAUCAGGCUAAGUGUAGAGUAAGUUGUUUUGAAUUAGUCUGGAUUUUAUAUGGAUGGAGGACACUUGAAAAGGACAGGGGUAAUUGGGGCCAAACAGUGUGUCUAGUAAAGGCCUCAGUCUGCUUCAAAUAAAGCGUCAGUCAGUCUAACGGCAUCUGAACUGACCCAGUAAAAUGUGCGGAGGUGUGAAAGCUGCCAGGGUCUGAACUUACUCAAGCUCCUUUCUCCCCCCCCAUUCUACACACAACUACUUUUAGUGUGUAUAACCAAGCGCAACACUCCCAAAAUGUGGGUGCCCCCGUCACCUUUUUUGAUGAUUGAAAGCCUGCACCCUCUAAAAACU
Gasterosteus aculeatus aculeatus (three-spined stickleback) is the source of this 8450-nucleotide long non-coding RNA. NCBI's taxonomy places the organism in Eukaryota, Metazoa, Chordata, Actinopteri, Perciformes, Gasterosteidae. The record is from Ensembl.